RNAcentral lists this ribosomal RNA (445 nucleotides) under uncultured bacterium. RNAcentral's name for it is "bacterial SSU rRNA". It matches the Rfam family "Bacterial small subunit ribosomal RNA", at positions 354 to 796 of the family's 1533-position model. The record is from RNAcentral.
GUGAGGAAUAUUGGUCAAUGGACGAGAGUCUGAACCAGCCAAGUAGCGUGCAGGAUGACGGCCCUAUGGGUUGUAAACUGCUUUUAUACAGGGAUAAAGUAGGGAACGUGUUCCCUUUUGCAGGUACUGUAUGAAUAAGGACCGGCUAAUUCCGUGCCAGCAGCCGCGGUAAUACGGAAGGUCCGGGCGUUAUCCGGAUUUAUUGGGUUUAAAGGGAGCGCAGGCCGGAGGUCAAGCGUGACGUGAAAUGUAGGGGCUCAACCUUUGAAUUGCGUCGCGAACUGGCUUUCUUGAGUGAGUACGACGUCAGCGGAAUUCGUGGUGUAGCGGUGAAAUGCUUAGAUAUCACGAAGAACCCCGAUUGCGAAGGCAGCUGACGAGUCCUUAACUGACGCUAAAGCUCGAAGGUGCGGGUAUCGAACAGGAUUAGAAACCCUAGUAGUCC